Molecule: ribosomal RNA, 274 nt
Filed under: uncultured bacterium
Lineage: Bacteria
Description: partial 16S ribosomal RNA
Rfam family: Bacterial small subunit ribosomal RNA
Source: RNAcentral
AUACGGAGGGGGCAAGCGUUGUUCGGAAUUACUGGGCGUAAAGAGUACGUAGGCGGAUCGUUAAGUUAGAGGUGAAAUCCCAGGGCUCAACCCUGGAACUGCCUUUAAUACUGGCGAUCUAGAGAUCGAGAGAGGUGAGUGGAAUUUCCAGUGUAGAGGUGAAAUUCGUAGAUAUUGGAAAGAACACCAGUGGCGAAGGCGGCUCACUGGCUCGAUACUGACGCUGAGGUGCGAAAGCGUGGGGAGCAAACAGGAAUAGAAACCCUAGUAGUCC